GAUGAACGCUGGCGGCGUGCCUAACACAUGCAAGUCGAACGGAGUUGUUAUUAGGAAGUUUUCGGAUGGAAUAAUAAUAACUUAGUGGCGGACGGGUGAGCAACGCGUGGGUAACCUGCCUCAUACAGGGGGAUAACAGUUGGAAACGGCUGCUAAAACCGCAUGACAUUGCGAUGUCGCAUGACAAUGCAAUGAAAUAUUUAUAGGUAUGAGAUGGGCCCGCGUCUGAUUAGCUAGUUGGUGAGGUAAUGGCCCACCAAGGCGACGAUCAGUAGCCGGCUUGAGAGAGUGACCGGCCACAUUGGGACUGAGACACGGCCCAAACUCCUACGGGAGGCAGCAGUGGGGAAUAUUGCACAAUGGGGGAAACCCUGAUGCAGCGACGCCGCGUGAGUGAAGAAGUAUUUCGGUAUGUAAAGCUCUAUCAGCAGGGAAGAAAAUGACGGUACCUGACUAAGAAGCCCCGGCUAACUACGUGCCAGCCGCCGCAGUAA
This 494-nucleotide ribosomal RNA is filed under the name uncultured bacterium. RNAcentral's name for it is "partial 16S ribosomal RNA". It matches the Rfam family "Bacterial small subunit ribosomal RNA", at positions 28 to 523 of the family's 1533-position model. The record is from RNAcentral.